Molecule: long non-coding RNA, 275 nt
Filed under: Eucalyptus grandis
Lineage: Eukaryota; Viridiplantae; Streptophyta; Magnoliopsida; Myrtales; Myrtaceae
Description: long non-coding RNA (EGRA_LNC005669)
Source: RNAcentral
UCUGCGGCAAGAUCCCCUUCAACUCCUUCAUCCAUUCAUUCUUUUUCCUAUUUUUGCCCCUCUAAUUUUCCAUCUCCCUGGAUUUUUUUAUUUUUCUUCUGUGAUUUAGUUAGUAAAAGGAAUAUAGCGAUGGAAGAGUUUUGAGCUGUUGCUGUUGGCUUGGUCGUCGUCGUCUCCCUCAACGAGUCGCUUUGUUCAUGGCUCUUCUCAUCUUGUUUCGCGAUGCAACAGUGUAAGCACCUCUCUCUGUAAGUACUCUCUUCCCCUUGUUUCUG